RNAcentral lists this ribosomal RNA (452 nucleotides) under uncultured bacterium. Its description in RNAcentral is "bacterial SSU rRNA". It matches the Rfam family "Bacterial small subunit ribosomal RNA", at positions 340 to 786 of the family's 1533-position model. The record is from RNAcentral.
UACGGGGGCAGCAGUGGGGAAUAUUGCACAAUGGGCGCAAGCCUGAUGCAGCCAUGCCGCGUGUAUGAAGAAGGCCUUCGGGUUGUAAAGUACUUUCAGUCGUGAGGAAGGUGUUAAGGUUAAUAACCUUAGCAAUUGACGUUAGCGACAGAAGAAGCACCGGCUAACUCCGUGCCAGCAGCCGCGGUAAUACGGAGGGUGCGAGCGUUAAUCGGAAUUACUGGGCGUAAAGGGCACGCAGGCGGUUAAUUAAGUUGGAUGUGAAAUCCCCGGGCUUAACCUGGGAAUGGCAUUCAAGACUGGUUAGCUAGAGUCUUGUAGAGGGGGUAGAAUUCCAUGUGUAGCGGUGAAAUGCGUAGAGAUGUGGAGGAAUACCGGUGGCGAAGGCGGCCCCUGGACAAAGACUGACGCUCAUGUGCGAAAGCGUGGGGAGCAAACAGGGAUUAGAUACC